GCUCCAGACUCCUACGGGAGGCAGCAGUGGGGAAUAUUGCACAAUGGGGGGAACCCUGAUGCAGCGACGCCGCGUGGGUGAAGGAGUACUUCGGUACGUAAAGCCCUAUCAGCAGGAAAGAAAAUGACGGUACCUGACUAAGAAGCCCCGGCUAACUACGUGCCAGCAGCCGCGGUAGUACGUAGGGGGCAAGCGUUAUCCGGAUUUAUUGGGUUUAAAGGGUGCGCAGGCGGAGGCACAAGUCAGCGGUAAAAUCGGGGGGCCAACCCCCGCUCCGCCGUUGAAACUGUGUCCCUUGAGUGCGCGAAGGGUAGGCGGAAUGCGUGGUGUAGCGGUGAAAUGCAUAGAUAUCACGCAGAACUCCGAUCGCGAAGGCAGCCUACCGGCGCGCAACUGACGCUCAUGCACGAAAGCGUGGGUAUCGAACAGGAUUAGAUACCCCAGUA
RNAcentral lists this ribosomal RNA (446 nucleotides) under uncultured bacterium. RNAcentral's name for it is "bacterial SSU rRNA". It matches the Rfam family "Bacterial small subunit ribosomal RNA", at positions 328 to 792 of the family's 1533-position model. The record is from RNAcentral.